GAUGAACGCUAGCGGCAGGCUUAAUACAUGCAAGUCGAGGGGCAGCACGGUUAGCAAUAACUGGUGGCGACCGGCGCACGGGUGCGUAACACGUAUACAAUCUACCUUAAACAGGGGGAUAGCCUUUCGAAAGAGAGAUUAAUACCCCGUAAUAAAUUGAACGGCAUCGUUUGAUUUUGAAAGCUCCGGCGGUUUGAGAUGAGUAUGCGUCUGAUUAGCUAGUUGGUGAGGUAACGGCUCACCAAGGCGACGAUCAGUAGGGGAUCUGAGAGGACUAACCCCCACACUGGUACUGAGACACGGACCAGACUCCUACGGGAGGCAGCAGUAAGGAAUAUUGGUCAAUGGAGGCAACUCUGAACCAGCCAUGCCGCGUGCAGGAUGACGGCCCUAUGGGUUGUAAACUGCUUUUAUACAAGAGAAAACCCUGGUACGUGUACCAGGUUGAUAGUAUUGUAAGAAUAAGCAUCGGCUAACUUCGUGCCAGCAGCCGC
This 494-nucleotide ribosomal RNA is filed under the name uncultured bacterium. RNAcentral describes it as "bacterial SSU rRNA". It matches the Rfam family "Bacterial small subunit ribosomal RNA", at positions 28 to 518 of the family's 1533-position model. The record is from RNAcentral.